AUACUUACCUGGCAGGGGAGAUACCAUGAUCACGAAGGUGGUUUUCCCAGGGCGAGGCUUAUCCAGGGCACUCUGCAUCCUGACCCUGCUAUUUCCCCAAAUAUGGGAAACUCGAUUGCAUAGUUUGUGAUGGUGGGGUACCCAUUUGUGUUCUUCCCUG
Arvicola amphibius (Eurasian water vole) is the source of this 160-nucleotide small nuclear RNA. RefSeq annotates it as U1 spliceosomal RNA. The record is from RefSeq and is a predicted model, not a curated record. The transcript has a single exon. Lineage: Eukaryota; Metazoa; Chordata; Mammalia; Rodentia; Cricetidae.